RNAcentral lists this ribosomal RNA (515 nucleotides) under uncultured microorganism. RNAcentral describes it as "bacterial SSU rRNA". It matches the Rfam family "Bacterial small subunit ribosomal RNA", at positions 9 to 506 of the family's 1533-position model. The record is from RNAcentral.
GAGUUUGAUCGUGGCUCAGGAUGAACGCUGGCGGCGUGCCUAAUACAUGCAAGUCGAGCGGACGGACGAGAAGCUUGCUUCUCUGAUGUUAGCGGCGGACGGGUGAGUAACACGUGGAUAACCUACCUAUAAGACUGGGAUAACUUCGGGAAACCGGAGCUAAUACCGGAUAAUAUUUUGAACCGCAUGGUUCAAAAGUGAAAGACGGUCUUGCUGUCACUUAUAGAUGGAUCCGCGCUGCAUUAGCUAGUUGGUAAGGUAACGGCUUACCAAGGCAACGAUGCAUAGCCGACCUGAGAGGGUGAUCGGCCACACCGGAACUGAGACACGGUCCAGACUCCUACGGGAGGCAGCAGUAGGGAAUCUUCCGCAAUGGGCGAAAGCCUGACGGAGCAACGCCGCGUGAGUGAUGAAGGUCUUCGGAUCGUGAAACUCUGUUAUUAGGGAAGAACAUAUGUGUAAGUAACUGUGCACAUCUUGACGGUACCUAAUCAGAAAGCCACGGCUAACUACGU